This is a long non-coding RNA of Suricata suricatta (meerkat), 319 nucleotides long. RefSeq lists it as uncharacterized. Lineage: Eukaryota; Metazoa; Chordata; Mammalia; Carnivora; Herpestidae. The transcript has 3 exons. The record is from RefSeq and is a predicted model, not a curated record.
AUAAAAGUUCCAAAGCACAAGAGUUGAAGAAGAAGCAACCUUCAUUUUGUCAUUCCGUUUGCAGUUUUCCAGAGAAAUAUGACAGUUGUCACCUCUCACAGAGACUGACAGUAUGGUAGAGAGAAUCACAGACUUACAGAUCUUAGAGUUGGAAAGACCACGUUGCUUUCAGAUUAACCUCCUAUGUAUACUCCAACAUACGUAGACAGCCAUCUUCUCUGCAGAGUGCAGGCAGCAUCCAAAGUGAGAGAAACCUCUUACUUUUGAUUCAUCAGAGAAUUGGAAAAAGUAUCCAGCCCCUGGAAAUCAUCAACCUACU